AGGAAUGGACGUCGGCCCCAGCCGGCGUUUCAGCGCCGUCCACCUGCUUCAAGAGGACCUGCUCCUGCCGCAGCCUCUGUGCUGCACUCUGCUGCUGUGCCGGGUGACCAACCCGCACCUGCUCUUCAAGAAGCUACAAGAGUCGUCUCUACCUCGUCUGGUUGUGGUUUCUGCAGAAAACCACACCCCACAGAUAAGUGUCCUAAGAACUCCUGCUUUGGCUGGGUCGUCUCUGGUGCAGUGACCGAUGCGCAGUGCAGCGCCAGCCUGGUCUCCUGUCGCCUCCUCUGUCUGGGCGACCUGAGGGACACAGAGACCAGCUGUACGAGUCUGACCUCUGGUUCGGCGGACCUGCAUGGCUAAGGGCGCCACGAGUCUCGCCCGUCGACUGCAGGUUGUUUGUGACAACCGAGGAGCUGGCCGAGUCGGACACGGGCGAACGGGAGACCGCCACUGGUGAGCCGAAGUGCUCUGGUGAGCGCUUGCCAGGUCAGUGUGACGUGAUUGGCGCGGAGUCGUCACCGGCGGUGGCUCUUACUCUGGAGUCUCGCCCCGACUCGCCUACUUGCGGGAAUGUGUUCACUGUUGAGCGAUGGAGCACGUUGACGAAGGCCGUACGGGUAGCGGCGUGGGCGAGGCGUUUUGUGUGGAACGCGCGCCACCCUGACAGCCGCAACCUGUCACCUGAACUUUCGUACCGAGAGCUGUGUGU
This 712-nucleotide unclassified non-coding RNA is filed under the name Amphibalanus amphitrite. RNAcentral describes it as "uncharacterized LOC122365762, transcript variant X1". Lineage: Eukaryota; Metazoa; Arthropoda; Thecostraca; Balanomorpha; Balanidae. The record is from RNAcentral.